This 204-nucleotide long non-coding RNA is filed under the name Elaeis guineensis (African oil palm). RNAcentral describes it as "long non-coding RNA (EGUI_LNC055512)". Lineage: Eukaryota; Viridiplantae; Streptophyta; Magnoliopsida; Arecales; Arecaceae. The record is from RNAcentral.
GUCCCUAACAUGGCUGUGGGGGCGCAUAUGGGCGCUGUAUGGCCUCUCCCCCCAUCCGGUCUACAAAUAACCGGACCUUCGACCUUGCUCAUGUUAGGGUGAGGUUCUCCUCCUGUCCCUAACAUGACUGUGGGGGCGCAUAUGGAUGCUGUAUGGCCUCUCCCUGAUCCAGUCUACAAAUAACUGGACCUUCGACCUUGCUCA